This 426-nucleotide ribosomal RNA is filed under the name uncultured prokaryote. Its description in RNAcentral is "bacterial SSU rRNA". It matches the Rfam family "Bacterial small subunit ribosomal RNA", at positions 355 to 796 of the family's 1533-position model. The record is from RNAcentral.
UGGGGAAUUUUCCGCAAUGGGGGCAACCCUGACGGAGCAACGCCGCGUGGGGGAGGAAUGUCUGUGGAUUGUAAACCCCUUUUCUCGGGGAAGAAGUUCUGACGGUACCUGAGGAAUCAGCAUCGGCUAACUCCGUGCCAGCAGCCGCGGUAAGACAGAGGAUGCAAGCGUUAUCCGGAAUUAUUGGGCGUAAAGCGUCCGUAGGCGGUUUUUCAAGUCUGCCGUUAAAGACCACAGCUUAACUGUGGGCCGGCGGUGGAAACUGUUGAACUGGAGUACGGUAGGGGUAGAGGGAAUUCCCAGUGUAGCGGUGAAAUGCGUAGAUAUUGGGAAGAACAUCGGUGGCGAAAGCGCUCUGCUGGACCGCAACUGACACUCAGGGACGAAAGCUAGGGGAGCGAAAGGGAUUAGAUACCCCCGUAGUCC